RNAcentral lists this long non-coding RNA (507 nucleotides) under Hordeum vulgare. RNAcentral describes it as "long non-coding RNA (HVUL_LNC016846)". Lineage: Eukaryota; Viridiplantae; Streptophyta; Magnoliopsida; Poales; Poaceae. The record is from RNAcentral.
GGGAGGCCAGCGCAGCAGCAACCAACGCGGUUGUGGCAUUCGAGGCGGCCGACGGAGUCGAAGGUGACGGCACGGACGCGAGGGCCAUGAGCAGCACCACGAGGGCCUGGAGGGGAGAAGAAGUGCGGUUGAGAGAGGACGCGAAGAGCAGUCCGUGUGUGGUCUCGACGGUUGAAGUGGAGGCCGGAGGAAGGAGAUCAAUCCGCCGUUGUCGGCCGCGGGCACGAGGUCGCGGAAGCCAUCCGGUGCACUUCGUUGCUUUCUUUUCUCUAGGUGGUGGGAGGGUGCGCAGGAGCUUUGCUACAGAUACGGAAAUAUUUUACAAAGGAUUACGGAUGAGCUGGUGUAUCCAGAUUUAAUUGGUUGUUAGAUGGAAGCCGACCCCAUCAUGAAAAUCAAGGGGGAAAGAUUAGUUGUGAGGGAGAGAAGGAUCUGUAAAACAUCCGUAAUUAUCCGUACGUCUAGCAUUUUUGAGGUGCGCAGUGUUAAUAUAUUUUUUGUUGGCCA